UACAGAGGGGGCAAGCGUUGUCCGGAAUUAUUGGGCGUAAGGCGCGCGCAGGCGGUUCUUUAAGUCUGAUGUGAAAGCCCACGGCUCAACCGUGGAGGGUCAUUGGAAACUGGAGGACUUGAGUACAGAAGAGGAAAGUGGAAUUCCACGUGUAGCGGUGAAAUGCGUAGAGAUGUGGAGGAACACCAGUGGCGAAGGCGGCGUUCUGGACUGCAACUGACACUGAUGAACGAAAGCCAGGGGAGCAAACGGG
Molecule: ribosomal RNA, 253 nt
Filed under: uncultured bacterium
Lineage: Bacteria
Description: partial 16S ribosomal RNA
Rfam family: Bacterial small subunit ribosomal RNA
Source: RNAcentral